GGCAGGCCUAAUACAUGCAAGUCGAACGAGAUUAAGAGGCUUGCUUCUUAUGAAAGUGGCGCACGGGUGCGUAACGCGUAUGCAACCUACCUUAAUCAGGGGGAUAGCCCGAAGAAAUUCGGAUUAAGACCGCAUAAAAACACAGGAUAGCAUUAUCCAAUGUUCAAAUAUUUAUAGGAUUAAGAUGGGCAUGCGUGUCAUUAGCUAGUUGGCGGGGUAACGGCCCACCAAGGCGACGAUGACUAGGGGAUCUGAGAGGAUGACCCCCCACACUGGUACUGAGACACGGACCAGACUCCCACGGGAGGCAGCAGUAAGGAAUAUUGGUCAAUGGAGGGAACUCUGAACCAGCCAUGCCGCGUGCAGGAAGACAGCCCUCUGGGUCGUAAACUGCUUUUAUUCGGGAAUAAACCUUUCUACGUGUAGGAAGCUGAAUGUACCGAAGGAAUAAGGAUCGGCUAACUCCGUGCCAGCAGCCGCGGUAAUACGGAGGAUCCAAGCGUUAUCCGGAUUUAUUGGGUUUAAAGGGUGCGUAGGCGGCUUAUUAAGUCAGGGGUGAAAGACGGUGGCUCAACCAUCGCAGUGCCCUUGAUACUGAUGAGCUUGAAUACACUAGAGGUAGGCGGAAUGUGACAAGUAGCGGCGAAAUGCAUAGAUAUGUCACAGAACACCGAUUGCGAAGGCAGCUUACUAUGGUGUUAUUGACGCUGAGGCACGAAAGCGUGGGGAUCAAACAGGAUUAGAUACCCUGGUAGUCCACGCCCUAAACGAUGAAUACUCGCUGUUAGCGAUAUACAGUUAGCGGCUAAGCGAAAGCGUUAAGUAUUCCACCUGGGGAGUACGCCCGCAAGGGUGAAACUCAAAGGAAUUGACGGGGGCCCGCACAAGCGGAGGAGCAUGUGGUUUAAUUCGAUGAUACGCGAGGAACCUUACCCGGGCUUGAAAGUUAGUGAAUGAUCUAGAGAUAGAUCAGUGAGCAAUCACACGAAACUAGGUGCUGCAUGGCUGUCGUCAGCUCGUGCCGUGAGGCGUUGGGUUAAGUCCCGCAACGAGCGCAACCCCUAUGUUUAGUUGCCAGCACGUUAAGGUGGGGACUCUAAACAGACUGCCUGUGCAAACAGAGAGGAAGGAGGGGACGACGUCAAGUCAUCAUGGCCCUUACGUCCGGGGCUACACACGUGCUACAAUGGAUGGUACAGAGGGCAGCAAGCUGGCAACAGCAAGCGAAUCUCAAAAAGCCAUUCACAGUUCGGAUAGAGGUCUGCAACUCGACCUCUUGAAGUUGGAUUCGCUAGUAAUCGCGUAUCAGCAAUGACGCGGUGAAUACGUU
This 1330-nucleotide ribosomal RNA is filed under the name uncultured bacterium. RNAcentral's name for it is "bacterial SSU rRNA". It matches the Rfam family "Bacterial small subunit ribosomal RNA", at positions 41 to 1372 of the family's 1533-position model. The record is from RNAcentral.